CUCUCCAGGAACAGAUGUCCUGCAUUCUAAAUGGAGAGUGCAGAGCCCACAGCAAACAACUAUCCCCAGCAGCCCGGAUCCCUCUGACAUCAGCCCCCAGGAAUGCGCUGCAGACCCUCUAGCACGUUCAGGCCUCCCAGAGCCUCCCCUCCCCUCCUCCAUCCCAGUGUCUCACUGGGGACAGGCCUCUGAGCUGCAGACGGAGGCCCUCGGAGGGUGUAGACAGCCCACCGAGCUCCAGGCCUGGAGACUGGAGGAGUGACUGGAGUGAGUGAGGCAGCCUUGGGUGAAGUGGAGCGGGAAGCCUGCCUAUGAAAGAGGCAGCUAGGCCAGUAGCUGGGCUGUAGGAAGAACACGGAGCUGGACUGAUUCAACCAAGAGUCCUACCCACCGGUGCUCCUCUUGCCAAGAGUGAAGGCAGAUGUCGUGGGAUUCUGCCAACUGCUGAGUACAUCUAUUUCCAUGAUGCUUUCCGGAAGUGGGGAAAUAGCACAGGAUGGGUUUGAGAUGGACGUAAGCUAAAAACCCAUAAGCCCCCACUUUGAUGUUCUGGGUCUCCUAGAAUUAGUGUCAGCUCAGAACCAGUGGCCAGUAGUCCAAAAGAUCUGAGUAUUUCCUUUUCUCCAAUGCAGGCUCAUCUUGGUGAAAGGUGCCUUUGGAGAAAGAAUACAGUAUAAAUUUCUGGCAGGCUACGAGGGUGCUUCCUUGAGGGUACCCAGCCUUUCCCUCAUUCAAGAGCUUCCAGUCUGAUAAAACUGGCUCAAGUAUGGGAAUGGAUUGAGCGGUCAUGACUCUGCUUUUAUGAUUCGGGACAGAUUUUUGUUUGCUUGACCUAGAAGUUUUCUGCUUAUACAGAUUAAGUACGAACUUAGUAGGCUUCCUGUCUAUUUCACUUCGAGGAACAUCAUGAUCAACCAGCCAACACCACAGGUCUGCAGCAGUCAGACUGCCUGCUGCUUUGAUUCCACUGUCCAAUAGGGUCAGCACGUCCACCUUGCCUUCGGUAGUACUACAGCCACGGGGCCCCUGCCGCCCUGGAGCCAAUUACUCCCGUCGCAUUCAGGUUACUGGUUCGGUGGCUGCUGUUCCUGCUGUGAGGUCUGGCCUUCAGAGAAGAGUGAUCACAGCUCCUCAGGGAGGCUGGGGCUCCUUUCAUAUAUUUACUUCUCACUGUCAAGGUGAAAGGCGUGUCUUCAGGAGCUUCCCAGUGUGGGUGAGGAGGUCUUAAAGGGAAGCCGAACAUGCCACAGACCACACGGGAAUUCUUGGCUGUCCAGUGCUUGUCACAGAUCUGCUUCCAGGUCUUGCCCUCCUUCACCUCCACAUAGCCCUCCAUCACUGGGGUGCGCCUGCGUCCGUCAGAAAAACAAUGCAUUCUACUGCUUCCACGAUGUAAGAGAAAAGCAAAUAAAAACAUUCCCAUUGGAGAGAUUGGAAAACCAAGGAGAGAAACGGAGGCUCUUCAAGGUUGAGAAGGACCCCAGGGCCAGUCUCCUGAUGUCCAGGCCCUGCUGAAACGUGUCUGUUCUCACGGCUGCUGGUCAGGGCUCAAACGACAGCACCUUGGAUCCAUUGUGGAGAACAAAGAGCUAAUUGAAAACAUCUGGGCUGAGGUUUUCCAACUGGCUUCUCAAUUUGGCCUGGUUUCCAAGCAGUCAAGCUCCACUGAAACAUACACUCCCUAAUCGAUUGCUGUCUCAACAACAAACCAAUGUUUGUCUUGCUAAGUACUAGCAACAGAAAAGACCCUCCACGUCCUAAGCGGAAUGUUCUGUCGCAAAGCUGCUGAAGUGACAGAGAUGGUGAAAAGCAGUGGCACCCUAUUCCAUCUGCAGUGAGAGAAACCCCCCUCUCUAAGGACCUGGAAGUCGACCAGUGCAUCAUCAAAGGAACUGAGAACAGCUGCAAACCAGAGACCCUACAGAGCCUGCCCCAAAGAGCUGCUCUCUUAUGAAUCUUCCAUGGACCCCUUCCACAUAUGCUUGGUCAAUUUCUACUUAGAUGGCAGAUAUGUGAAUUUGUACUUAGCCCAAGACAGCAUCACCAUGCAUGGUAUACUCAUUUGGCCUGAUUUCAUAACAAAAAUGUUUUUGUUUUUUGAGACAGUGUCUCACUCUGUCACUCAGGCUGGAGUGCAGUGGUGCAAUCGUAGCUCACUGCAACUUCCGCCUCCCAGGUUCAAGCAAUUCUCCCACCUCAGCCUCCCAAGUAGCUGGGACCAAAGGCGCAUGCCACCAUGCCCAGCUAAUUUUUGUAUUUUUUGGUAGAGACGGGAUUUCACCAUGUUGGCCAGGCUGGUCUCUAACUCCUGACCUCAGGUGAUCCGCCUGCCUCAGCCUCCCAAAGUGCUGGGAUUACAGGCAUAAGACACUGCAAAGGGCCCUUUUUUUCCCCUCUACAGGCUUAGUGCUUAUUAACUAGACUACUCCGAUUCCAAUGCAAGCAGCUUCUGGGUCUGCCUGCUGGAAAGCAGGGUGGUUCUAGGUACAAUCCAGUAGAUGCCUCCCCAGAGCUGCCAGGAAAGCUAUGUCCUUGGGACACAAGAUGAGAGUCAAACUUUGGACACAAGAAAGCCAUUCAAUCAGAAGUCAAAUUUUAUCUUACUCUUUCCUUCCAAUGCCUCUCCUGAUGAAAGAAGAGAUAAAUAUAUAUAUACAAGUUAACAGAUCAUUAGGAAGGUAAAAAUCAUAAAUGAAAUUCCGUUGGAAUGCCAGAGCCCAGGACAAUGGAAAUUAUUCAAGUUACACUCUGUGGGGUCACAAAUGGGUGCAGUGGGUCACGCCUGUAAUCCUAGCACUGUGGGAGGCCAAGGUGGGCACAUCACUUGAGGCCAAGAGUUUGAGAUCAGCCUGGCCGACAUGGCAAAACCCCGUCUCUACUAAAAAUACAAUUAAAAAAAUCAGCUGGGCCUAGUGGUGCACACCUGUAAUCCCAGCUACUCGGGGGGCUGAGGUGGGAGGAUCACUUGAACUCAGGAGGUGAAGGUUGCAGUCAGCCUAGAUCCCACCACUGCACUCCAGCCUGGGUGAUAAAGCAACACUCUGUCUCAAAGAAAAGAAAAAAAUCUGUGGGGUUCCAAUGUAGUUAUCGCUGGCUUCGUCGCUGUGGUCUAAAGAAUGAGGGAUGUGACUGGGAAUAAAUAGGCUUAGCCUCCUGAUUCUGAACACAGGUGAAGGAGAGCAACCACCUUAGCUUCAGCUGCUAUAACCUCGAACAGGGGUUGAGAAACAGGACAGCUGCUCCCUCCAGAACUCCCUAAAAGGGCCUGUGGUUUACCUGAGCUCAGAGAUGAUUUGGGAGAACAGUCUGUGGACAGGCCAGGCAAGAAAACGCAGAACGUCCCUGGUGCCCUCCCUGGUUUCAUUACUCCAGCCUGCAGUUCAGAGGAGCUUGAGGGGUCCUGGAGAGGCAGCCUUAUCCAGUCUGGCCGGCACGUUAAGCCCCUAAGCCCCACCGGAGCAAGCCCUGGGUGCUGGCCACGUUCUGUGCUCACUAUACCAAGAACUGUUUUGCCAACUCUUUUUCCCAUCCUGCCAAAUCAAAAUGAAUCAAUUAGCUACUAUUCACUGAGUGCCCACCAUGUACCCUGUGAUAAAGAUCUGGACUGAUGCUGGUGAAAUUCAAAUACAUUUAGAUGUAAAAAGAUCUCUCAUGUCAUAAACCGAGCACCCACUUCACGUAAGCAGCUUAACUCGUAAAGCCUUGAACACAAGACAGGGUUCUUUUUUUUUUUUUUUUUUUUUUCAAGCAUCUGUUUCUUCCUCCUCUCUUUGACGUUAUUCCUUUUAUAACCCUUGAUGGUUUCCAUGUCCACAAAGAUGACCUUUCCAGUACUCCUGGUCUGUUCGUUAAUACACCUCCUCUCUCAGGGACUGUCCUCCAUCCUGCUCCAGCCGCUGUCCCAUGGUCAUAGCUCAGGUCUCUCAUUACCAGAGAUUGCACCCCUCAAUCUACAUUUCCCCUUUCCUGCUCUGCACCCACACACAGCUCCCUUCAUCUUUUAGUAAACUUCUUGUAUCUCCAUCUGAACAGAGACCCGCAAUCCAGUGAUCACAGCAGCUAUGCACAAUCCUUCAACUUCUCCACUUAUUACCACCCUUCUUACCCAGCACAGUUUCCAUGGACCAUGAGUUUAAUCCUUCCCUUUCAUAUUCCCUCCACUCCUUGGAACUUUUCACUCUUCACGACGCUUGGAUGGCAAAGUCCCACCUGGGUAAAAACCUGUCUCCUACUACCCGAUGCCUGCUCCUGAUAGGGAAAAACCACAGCCCCCUUGUCUGACAACAGGUGUUUUAAAUUGAGGUUGAAAUCAAAUUAAGUUGUCACUGGAAAAAUA
Long non-coding RNA from Nomascus leucogenys (northern white-cheeked gibbon), 4336 nucleotides. RefSeq lists it as uncharacterized. The record is from RefSeq and is a predicted model, not a curated record. The transcript has 3 exons. Lineage: Eukaryota; Metazoa; Chordata; Mammalia; Primates; Hylobatidae.